This 492-nucleotide ribosomal RNA is filed under the name uncultured bacterium. RNAcentral describes it as "partial 16S ribosomal RNA". It matches the Rfam family "Bacterial small subunit ribosomal RNA", at positions 29 to 507 of the family's 1533-position model. The record is from RNAcentral.
AGUGAACGCUGGCGGUAGGCCUAACACAUGCAAGUCGAACGGCAGCACAGUAAGAGCUUGCUCUUACCGGUGGCGAGUGGCGGACGGGUGAGGAAUACAUCGGAAUCUACUUUUUCGUGGGGGAUAACGUAGGGAAACUUACGCUAAUACCGCAUACGACCUACGGGUGAAAGCAGGGGAUCUUCGGACCUUGCGCGAUUGAAUGAGCCGAUGUCGGAUUAGCUAGUUGGCGGGGUAAAGGCCCACCAAGGCGACGAUCCGUAGCUGGUCUGAGAGGAUGAUCAGCCACACUGGAACUGAGACACGGUCCAGACUCCUACGGGAGGCAGCAGUGGGGAAUAUUGGACAAUGGGCGCAAGCCUGAUCCAGCCAUACCGCGUGGGUGAAGAAGGCCUUCGGGUUGUAAAGCCCUUUUGUUGGGAAAGAAAAGCAGCAGGUUAAUACCCCGCUGUUCUGACGGUACCCAAAGAAUAAGCACCGGCUAACUUCGUG